UAUGCUAAAAUAGAUUAGAUAGUGUAUGAGUAUACACUUAUACUGAUGAUGAGCGCAUCGGAGCUCUUCCACAACCGGAGGUCGUCUCAGGUGGGCCGCGGUAGCCCCGAUCUAUGUUCCGAUCAGACCUCUCAUCGACGCCACCACUGCAAUUAUCACGUUUAUCAUCUUCAUCAUCAUCACCAAGAUUCCCAAGCCUCCGAUCCUCUUCGACGUUGGAGAACAGCCAAGUAGUUGGUAAAGGUUACGCUGAAGUGAUAAUUGAUGCAGACGAGGUUGCUGUUGCAGCUAGCCCAAGCGGAACUGCCCAUGCUUUAGUAAAUGUGGAUCCAAUUCGAAGUUCAUACUUUAUUGGGUGCCAAGACAGUAUUGUAAAUUAUAGCAACUCAUCUACUGAUUUUAAUGUCUGGAAAGAUCUUUAAGCUUUAUUUUUUGCAAGUUUUGCUUGGUUUCCCUUUUCUGUCUAACAUGCUUCAUUUUUUUUUUUUAAUUGCCCAAUAGGUGAUUACUGUACUAGGGCAUUCCAAGGUUAAAAGUUUACUUUUUCUCGUCAAUGCUGUAUUUUAGGCACUAGACAGCAACAACAUCCUCCAAGUUCUCAUAGGGUAAGUCAUGAAAAGUUGGUGUUAGUUUUUUGUGCCAGCUAUGAUUUUAUGGGGUCAGCAUGUUUCUUUGUUUGAUUAUAAUUAGAAUGGAAUUGGGUGCUGUGUAGGGCUUGUUAUUUGAGGAGAAAAACAGGCUGGGUCAAUAUGUUUUGUUAUGUGCAUCAAUUUCAGUGUCAUCUUGUCGGUAUCCCCAUUUACCAACCGCUGAAGGUUUCUUAAAGGAUUAAAUCUUUGUUGUUUCAGUCCCUCCUGUUGUGGGUAUUGGUGACCCGAUGCGUCAGCAUGAAGAACUUCUAAGGAGUACGCUAAUGGAUGGGAAUCUUCAAUGGCUUGGUUAUUUGUCAUCAACUAAUAUGCCAGAGAAGAUACACACUAUCUAUUGUAUAUAUAUGAUUUAAUGAGAAUCAAGUUGUAUGCAAUGCCUAAAGAGGCCGAAAAUAUUGAUGCUCCGUUAGUAGAGGUAAUUCCUCCUGCACCAUUAGCAUCUUCUAUGGAUUUUAUGGGAUUGUGAGUUUUUUCCCCUUAAGUGAUUUUUACACUCUGCCUUCAUGUGAUAUUGUGUAUUAUAAUAUUUUUGUGUUAAUAUUAUGUUAGUUUCAAGACAUUUGUGGUGUUGUGUUAGUAGAGCUAAAACUAUUAUAGGUUUUUUUGUAAUAGAUCUG
Molecule: long non-coding RNA, 1267 nt
Organism: Quercus lobata
Lineage: Eukaryota; Viridiplantae; Streptophyta; Magnoliopsida; Fagales; Fagaceae
Exons: 5
Source: RefSeq, a predicted model, not a curated record